This 377-nucleotide ribosomal RNA is filed under the name uncultured organism. RNAcentral describes it as "partial 16S ribosomal RNA". It matches the Rfam family "Bacterial small subunit ribosomal RNA", at positions 527 to 896 of the family's 1533-position model. The record is from RNAcentral.
GUAGGGAGCAAGCGUUGUUCGGAAUCAUUGGGCGUAAAGAGCGCGUAGGUGGUUUGGUAAGUCUGUUGUGAAAUCCCAUAGCUCAACUGUGGAACUGCGACGGAAACUGCCAGACUUGAGUGCGGGAGAGGAAAGUGGAAUUCCCAGUGUAGAGGUGAAAUUCGUAGAUACUGGGAGGAACACCGGUGGCGAAGGCGGCUUUCUGGACCGCAACUGACGCUGAGGCGCGAAAGCUAAGGGGAGCAAACGGGGGAUUAGAUACCCCGGUAGUCCUAGCCGUAAACGAUGGGCACUAGGUGUGGGGGGUAUCGACCCCCCUUCUGUGCCGUAGCUAACGCAUUAAGUGCCCCCGCCUGGGGAGUACGGUCGCAAGACUA